Molecule: ribosomal RNA, 1442 nt
Filed under: human gut metagenome
Description: bacterial LSU rRNA
Rfam family: Bacterial large subunit ribosomal RNA
Source: RNAcentral
UGCGUAACAGCUCACUGGUCGAGUGGACAUGCGCCGACAAUACACGGGGCUAAGCGUUGUACCGAAGCAGCGGACUGUUUUAUCAGUGGUAGGGGAGCUUUCCAUGCCGGGGCGAAGCCGACGGGCGACCGUCGGUGGACUGCAUGGAAGUGAGAAUGCUGGCAUGAGUAACGAGAGAGGGGCGAGAAACCCCUCCGCCGUAAGCCUAAGGGUUCCUGGGCAAGGCUAAUCCCCCCAGGGUCAGUCGGGAGCUAAGGCGAGGCCGACAGGCGUAGCCGAUGCACAACAGGCGGACAUUCCUGUACCACCGCGGAGCGUUACUACGACGGGGUGACGGAGAAGGGUAGCCGGGCGGGGUUCUGGACGUCCCCGUGAAAGCGCGUAGGCCGCAGGGCAGGCAAAUCCGCCCUGCAGCGAGGCCGAGACGUUAGACGAAGCUUCAUGUGAAGCCGGCGAGCCCAUGCUUUCGAGAAAAACCUCUAAGGAGCGAGGCGGUGCCCGUACCAAAACCGACACAGGUAGGCGGGUAGAGCAUACCAAGGCGAUCGGGAGAACCAUGGUUAAGGAACUCGGCAUACUGACUCCGUAACUUCGGGAGAAGGAGUGCCCCCGCCUGUGAGGUCCCACGCGGACGGAGCGGGAGGGGGUCGCAGCGAAACGGCCCAAGCGACUGUUUACCAAAAACACAGGACUCUGCAAAGCCGCAAGGCGACGUAUAGGGUCUGACGCCUGCCCGGUGCUGGAAGGUUACGCGGAUGAGUUAGCGCAAGCGAAGCCCUGAAGCCAAGCCCCAGUAAACGGCGGCCGUAACUAUAACGGUCCUAAGGUAGCGAAAUUCCUUGUCGGGUAAGUUCCGACCUGCACGAAUGGCGUAACGACUUCCCCACUGUCUCGACCAGGAGCUCGGCGAAAUUGCAGUACGAGUAAAGAUGCUCGUUUCGCGCAGAAGGACGGAAAGACCCUAUAGACCUUAACUGUAAGCUGUCAUUGUUUCUUCGGUUUUAAUGCUCAGAGUAAGUGGGAGACGCUGAAGACGCCCUUUAGGGGGCGUCCGAGUCAUCAAUGAGACACCACCCUUUGAAACUGGAGGAUCUAACCCUGAGCCGUGAAUCCGGCCAGAGGACCGUGUCAGCCGGUCAGUUUUACUGGGGCGGUAUCCUCCCAAAGAGUAACGGAGGAGCGCGAAGGUGGGCUCAGCCCGGUUGGCAACCGGGUGUCGAGUGCAUGGGCAUAAGCCCGCCUAACUGUGAGACCAACAAGUCGAGCAGAUGCGAAAGCAGGCCCAAGUGAUCCGGCGGUAGAAAGUGGAAUUGCCGUCGCUCAACGGAUAAAAGGUACCUUAGGGAUAACAGGCUGAUCACGCCCAAGAGUUCAUAUCGACGGCGUGGUUUGGCACCUCGAUGUCGGCUCGUCGCAUCCUGGGGCUGGAGAAGGUCCCAAGG